This 1024-nucleotide unclassified non-coding RNA is filed under the name Hevea brasiliensis (rubber tree). Lineage: Eukaryota; Viridiplantae; Streptophyta; Magnoliopsida; Malpighiales; Euphorbiaceae. The record is from RNAcentral.
UCCCAUUAAGAGCUGCACAGGCAAUGUCUGUGACAGAGAGAUCCUGGUAAACACAGAAGGCAUAGCCUUUCGAAUUACCAGUUUCCCUGUCCUUAACAAGAUCGAAGCCCCGAAGAGGACCAAACGACUCGAGCAACUCCCGAACUUGUGCUUCAGUGAAGUAGUACGGAAGUCCACCAACAAAAAUCCGAUCAGGCCCCUCAAGCCCUCCAGCAGAACCUGGUGUCAGUCCCACUGCACCGAGAUUGAGAUUGGGGUUUGGCUGGCUUGGGCCGAGAGCAGCGGCAAGAGAAGGGUUGUAGUCACUUGGCCUUCUCACCUUUACCGGUCCACCCUCAAAGAUAAUGCCAUCCAAGGCCAUUGCAUUGCUAGCUUCUUCCACUGACCUCAUUUCCACAAAAGCAAAUUUCUUUUCAUGAUUUAUAUAUACAUUAACAACAGCAUCACCUGGACCGGCGGUGUUUCCACCAAUAGCAGCCAUAACCUGGCUAAAGAAAGUUGCCACGGACUGUUCAUUUGCAGUUGGAGAAAGCCCACCAACAUAAACUCGUCUAGCAUGCCGAGUUGCCUGUUGUGUCAUUGCUUGAGGCAUCAUAGGCAUUGGUUGGAACUGUCCGGUAGUCAUCGGGAUUAUAUUUGGAAACAUUCCUGGAAUGGCUGCUAGAGCCCCUGUCAUUUGACCUGGAACAGGUGCACCGGGAACCAUAGCACCUUGGGGAGGUGCCAUGUCAAAGCCACUGACCCGUUUGCUCUUUGAUCUUGAGCGUGAGCGAGACCUCGAUCUAUGCUCCGAUCUGCCCCGCGACCGAGACUCAGACCUGUGGCUACGACGCCCCUCUCUGUCCCUAUCAUAGUCCCGAUGCCUAUCGUAGUCCCGGCUGUGAUGUCGGCUUCUUUCACUCCUAUCUCUCUCCCUGUCCCGGUCCUUGUGAUGGCGAUCACGAUCGCGGUCGCGCUCCCGCUCCCGAUCUCUAUCCCUGUCUCUAUCCCUAUGUCGAUCUCUAUCCCUGUCCCGACCUCUAUC